Non-coding RNA from Bactrocera oleae (olive fruit fly), 1190 nucleotides. The record is from RefSeq and is a predicted model, not a curated record. NCBI's taxonomy places the organism in Eukaryota, Metazoa, Arthropoda, Insecta, Diptera, Tephritidae.
UUUUUUUUUUUUAAAGUUGUCAUCUAAAUUGAUUGUUGUUUCAGAAAGUGUUAGUAAAUUACUGGACAGUAAAAAUAUGAAAACAAAAUAGUCCAUAAUGUAAUUAUUUAUCUUUUUAAGAAUUUUUGGAAAAAAAAUUUUUGUUACGACUAUAUAUAAUAACACUUCAAACGGUUAUAAUUGAUGGAAGAUGCGAUGCUAAUUAAACAAAGAAACCUAAACGCGAAGGCAAAGCUAUCAAGCGUCAAGUGGCGUUUCGCAGUCAAAACAACAGAAAAGCUCAAAACACAGGUGAUGAAAAACGAAUAUUUACAUACGAACAACGAUGCAGCAAAACGAUUCCAAUUUAUAAACAAUGCAGAAAAACUCGUUUUCGAGUAGCUACGUGUGUACGAAUUUCAACAAGUGCUCCGACUCUUCAAAUCUGGAAGCUACAACACGAAAGGUGUAAAAGAAAUGUUAACAGCUUAAUGAGACAUACCUUGAUGCUCAAUUAGGAAACCCCGCAGGCGCCUCAUUUACUGGCAACUUAAACUUCAAAAUUUUAGCAUGAACUUUAAUUGUUGUCAAAAUGUGAUUAUUAAUUCUUUUUCAAAAAUAUAAAAAUACACUUUAAGCCUCUAGUAGGGAAUGUAUAUGAGAGAAGGUCACUAGAGCAGAUAAAACCCGCUUGGUCUGAUUGUGUAUAUUAAUCUUUUCAAAUAAGUUUAAGUGAAAAAUUGUUUCGUUUUUACAAUGUACCACAUUUAUUAUUAUUUUUAAACCAAGUAGAACAAAAGCCACACUUAAAGCUAUCGACGUCAAAAUCUCAUUAGAAAACUAUAUAUCAAACAGCGGGGAAGUUAAACGGCAGCCAGUACCUCGGUGACAUCCAGAACUCAGGCUUAACAAAUUGGUGGCUGAUUAAAAGCGGCAUGAACACCGUUAUUACAAACGCUGGCAAAUGGAUAAGAUAUGUUGAAAGCUUAGUAAUUUGAAACAAAUACAUAACCGGAGACGAAAGCUGCAAUCAAAUUACUGACAAAAAUGUAUUCAAAUUCCAAAUUGCUGAGAGAGAAAUUUUCAUGGAUUUCGUUGUGAAAAACCAAUCGCAUGUUUCAGGGAUUCCGCAGAAAUAGCUUUCUCUAGUUGUUGUCGUUUUCGCUAUGCAAUAAAAUUCUAUGUUGUUAUGAUCUAUCAUUACUUAUUCG